GAUGAACGCUAGCUACAGGCUUAACACAUGCAAGUCGAGGGGAAACGACAUUGGAAGCUUGCUUCCUUUGGGCGUCGACCGGCGCACGGGUGAGUAACGCGUAUCCAACCUUCCCGCAACUCCGGAAUAGUCCCCCGAAAGGGGGGUUAACGCCGGAUGCUGCAAUUUUUCCGCAUGGUGGAAUUGCGAAAUGAAAAGGUUGGGGCUGGGGAUGCGUCCCAUUAGGUAGUAGGCGGGGUAACGGCCCACCUAGCCGACGAUGGGUAGGGGUUCUGAGAGGAAGGUCCCCCACAUUGGAACUGAGACACGGUCCAAAACUCCUAAGGGAGGCAGCAGUGAGGAAUAUUGGUCAAUGGGCGAGAGCCUGAACCAGCCAAGUAGCGUGUGGGACGAAUGCCCUAUGGGUUGUAAACCACUUUUUGCAGGAGGGUAAAAUGCUUCACGUGUGGAGUAUUGCAAGUAUCCUGCGAAUAAGGACCGGCUAAAUUCCGUGCCAGCAGCCG
RNAcentral lists this ribosomal RNA (503 nucleotides) under uncultured bacterium. Its description in RNAcentral is "bacterial SSU rRNA". It matches the Rfam family "Bacterial small subunit ribosomal RNA", at positions 28 to 517 of the family's 1533-position model. The record is from RNAcentral.